Coffea eugenioides is the source of this 106-nucleotide small nucleolar RNA. The record is from RefSeq and is a predicted model, not a curated record. Lineage: Eukaryota; Viridiplantae; Streptophyta; Magnoliopsida; Gentianales; Rubiaceae.
AGACCAUGAUAGGGACAUCUUCUUUGAAAAUCCUUGAAUCUCUCACAAGAUUUAUAUUAUGACUCGCCUUCAUGUUGAGUAAAACUUGUGAUAUCCAUAUGAAAUU